Molecule: long non-coding RNA, 449 nt
Filed under: Volvox carteri
Lineage: Eukaryota; Viridiplantae; Chlorophyta; Chlorophyceae; Chlamydomonadales; Volvocaceae
Description: long non-coding RNA (VCAR_LNC004125)
Source: RNAcentral
CCCGUGCUAGUGGAUGGUACCAGUGAGCCGUUAGUAGAGCAUUUAUCAUAUACCACGGGGUCGGUGCUGUGCGUUUGCUUGGACUGGGCUGUGUGCCCUUCGUUAUCUUUGCAGGUUUCUGCUUGAGGGAACUAAUGGGUGUGAUCCAUUGGUAGGUGUUUGUUGCGGUUACCAUCCACGCAGUUGCUUGCUUGGUUCGUUGCUUUGACACAGCGUGCCUUCUUAGGUAGGUUAUGACUGACGAUGUUGAUGGCUAUCAAAAUGCUCCACAUUACACACACGUAUGGAAGCUUUUCCGGGGACUCGAGCUCCAUCUGUGUAACAGCUGCCAUGGAUACCACCACCCAUCGGCUCCACCCAGACUAACGCGGCAGCAGGCGUCCAGGUGUGCAUCGCUGAGUUACACACUACUACUGCACGCAGCGAUUUCAGUUUUUAGUCGUACCUAA